CGGACCUCGGAGGCCAUGACGGCGCCGGCGAAGCGCCUUGGGCGGGAGGCGCCCGUCCUCGCGCGCGCGCAGCCCCGCCACCCGCGUCCCCUCCGCCGGCAUCGCCUCCUCCUCCCUCCUCCGCCGCCGCGAGGGCUCCUCUUCUCCUCCCCUCUGCCGGUGCUGCCACUGCUGCUGCUUCCUGUUUUUUUUGGGAGCGAAGCUAAUGGCCUGAUGAUGCUGGGCCUGCCGAGCCCCGCGCCUGUUGGGCCUGGGCCGCGCGCGUCGGGGCCCAACCGGAACCGGGCUCCUCCCCGGCCCGACCCCCGCCUACACAAACCAAAUCGAACCAGCGAAACCCAUUCCGGCAACCCAACCGCAUCGCACGCCCGACGCGCAGCCGAAACCCUAGCCCCGCCCCGCCCCUUCCUCCCCCGCGCACCCCGCCGUCUCCGCCGUCCCGUUCGCCGCGCCAUGGCCGAUUCCCCGCGCCGGAGGUACACAAGGCCCUCAAGGUCCCCUUCUCCUUAUAAGGGACGCCAAAAGCAAAUGUCAAGGUCAAGAUCACCUGUAGCUCAAUCCCAGUCUAGAUCUCCAUCGCCUGAUCCUAGAGCUCAGGCGAGGUCAAGAUCUCGAAGCCCUGCGAGGGAGCGGGAGCCUGAAGCUGUAAAUCAUGGAAAUACUCUGUACAUUACUGGACUUUCUUCUAGGGUGACUGAUAAAGAACUUAGAGAGUACUUCAAUAAGGAAGGAAAGGUGGUUUCUUGUCAUGUUGUUCUUGAACCCCACACACGUGUUUCUCGUGGAUUUGCUUUCAUCACCAUGGACACUGUUGAAGAUGCUGAACGCUGCAUCAAGUAUCUCAACCAGUCAGAACUGCAAGGCCGGAACAUCACAGUUGAAAAGAAGACAUUGUGCAAGCUAUGUGCCAGCAAUCAAGAUGCUGAGUUCAUCAAUUUCAACUUUAGCUCAUACAGCUUGAUCAAUGGACAGCCCAAAGGGUUACUAUGCAACACGAGAUUCACAACAACUAAACGUAGCAAAUUUUCAACUAAACCUGAGCAUUCACCUUCAACUCCCCAUCAACUAAUCAACGGGCAUUUCCAACACUUUAGUCAAGUUGUCUGGUGACAUAUGCAUAGCAAUGUUGGAUGUCUGCUAGUUGGAGUUUGUGCUCUUCAUUAAGUAUUUCCUUCCUCCUUGGUCCGUUAAUGCAGGGUGUAUAUCCGCCGAUCUCACGCAGAGGCCGCCCAAGGACGCCUACUCCUGGGAGCUAUCUGGGCCAUCGCUAUGAGCGCAGAGAGAUGCAGUGUGGAGGUAGAUUCCGCAGAGGAGGCUACGGUCGUGACGACUACUAUGGAAACAGCUACCGCAGGUCUCCGCCUCCCAUGUACCGAGAAUACAGGGACACCCGGGACUACCCUCCCUACAGGGACACCCGUGACUACUCCCCGCCCCACAGGGAUGCCCGAGACUACUAUGACGGCAGGGGUGGCCGGGGCUACUCCCCCCACAGGUCUCCCCCUCC
RNA transcript from Triticum aestivum (bread wheat), 1507 nucleotides. It is a transcript of the gene named serine/arginine-rich splicing factor SR45a, with no coding region annotated. Lineage: Eukaryota; Viridiplantae; Streptophyta; Magnoliopsida; Poales; Poaceae. The transcript is spliced from 8 exons. The record is from RefSeq and is a predicted model, not a curated record.